Molecule: ribosomal RNA, 251 nt
Filed under: uncultured bacterium
Lineage: Bacteria
Description: partial 16S ribosomal RNA
Rfam family: Bacterial small subunit ribosomal RNA
Source: RNAcentral
CGUAGGUGGCAAGCGUUGUCCGGAUUUAUUGGGUUUAAAGGGUGCGUAGGCGGCCUGGUAAGUAGGGGGUGAAAUCCUGCGGCUCAACCGCAGGGCUGCCUUCUAAACUGUCAGGCUGGAGCACGGUAGAGGCAGAUGGAAUUCCCGGUGUAGCGGUGGAAUGCGUAGAGAUCGGGAAGAACACCAGUGGCGAAGGCGGUCUGCUGGGCCGUUGCUGACGCUGAGGCGCGACAGCGUGGGGAGCAAACAGG